GAAAACAUGACCGCUCAAUGUCUACAAUUCCAAGAAGAGACUAGAAACAAUUAUAAAAACAACACUGCCUCUAUAAAGAAUCUUGAAGUUCAGCUGGGUCAGAUAGCACAACAACUAGCAAGUUCUCGAACACCAGGUUCCUUACCAAGUGAAACAAUUCAAAAUCCAAGAAAUCAGGAGAAUAUUAGUACUAUCAGGACGAAAAAGAAAAAGGUCGCAAAAAAAAAAAGUUAUACCACCUGGAAAGCCAACUGAAGAGGAAAUUAAAAAGGAUACUAAACUG
This 283-nucleotide long non-coding RNA is filed under the name Lathyrus oleraceus (garden pea). RNAcentral describes it as "Pisum sativum (pea) long non-coding RNA (PSAT_LNC034434)". Lineage: Eukaryota; Viridiplantae; Streptophyta; Magnoliopsida; Fabales; Fabaceae. The record is from RNAcentral.